AACGCUGGCGGCGUGCCUAAUACAUGCAAGUCGAACGCACAGCGAAAGGUGCUUGCACCUUUCAAGUGAGUGGCGAACGGGUGAGUAACACGUGGACAACCUGCCUCAAGGCUGGGGAUAACAUUUGGAAACAGAUGCUAAUACCGAAUAAAACUUAGUGUCGCAUGACACAAAGUUAAAAGGCGCUUCGGCGUCACCUAGAGAUGGAUCCGCGGUGCAUUAGUUAGUUGGUGGGGUAAAGGCCUACCAAGACAAUGAUGCAUAGCCGAGUUGAGAGACUGAUCGGCCACAUUGGGACUGAGACACGGCCCAAACUCCUACGGGAGGCUGCAGUAGGGAAUCUUCCACAAUGGGCGAAAGCCUGAUGGAGCAACGCCGCGUGUGUGAUGAAGGCUUUCGGGUCGUAAAGCACUGUUGUAUGGGAAGAACAGCUAGAAUAGGAAAUGAUUUUAGUUUGACGGUACCAUACCAGAAAGGGACGGCUAAAUACGUGCCAGCAGCCGCGGUAAUACGUAUGUCCCGAGCGUUAUCCGGAUUUAUUGGGCGUAAAGCGAGCGCAGACGGUUUAUUAAGUCUGAUGUGAAAGCCCGGAGCUCAACUCCGGAAUGGCAUUGGAAACUGGUUAACUUGAGUGCAGUAGAGGUAAGUGGAACUCCAUGUGUAGCGGUGGAAUGCGUAGAUAUAUGGAAGAACACCAGUGGCGAAGGCGGCUUACUGGACUGCAACUGACGUUGAGGCUCGAAAGUGUGGGUAGCAAACAGGAUUAGAUACCCUGGUAGUCCACACCGUAAACGAUGAACACUAGGUGUUAGGAGGUUUCCGCCUCUUAGUGCCGAAGCUAACGCAUUAAGUGUUCCGCCUGGGGAGUACGACCGCAAGGUUGAAACUCAAAGGAAUUGACGGGGACCCGCACAAGCGGUGGAGCAUGUGGUUUAAUUCGAAGCAACGAAGAACCUUACCAGGUCUUGACAUCCUUUGAAGCUUUUAGAGAUAGAAGUGUUCUCUUCGGAGAUAAAGUGACAGGUGGUGCAUGGUCGUCGUCAGCUCGUGUCGUGAGAUGUUGGGUUAAGUCCCGCAACGAGCGCAACCCUUAUUGUUAGUUGCCAGCAUUCAGAUGGGCACUCUAGCGAGACUGCCGGUGACAAACCGGAGGAAGGCGGGGACGACGUCAGAUCAUCAUGCCCCUUAUGACCUGGGCUACACACGUGCUACAAUGGCGUAUACAACGAGUUGCCAACCCGCGAGGGUGAGCUAAUCUCUUAAAGUACGUCUCAGUUCGGAUUGUAGUCUGCAACUCGACUACAUGAAGUCGGAAUCGCUAGUAAUCGCGGAUCAGCACGCCGCGGUGAAUACGUUCCCGGGUCUUGUACACACCGCCCGUCACACCAUGGGAGUUUGUAAUGCCCAAAGCCGGUGGCCUAACCUUUUAGGAAGGAGCCGUCUAAGGCAGGACAGAUGA
Molecule: ribosomal RNA, 1459 nt
Filed under: Leuconostoc mesenteroides
Lineage: Bacteria; Bacillati; Bacillota; Bacilli; Lactobacillales; Lactobacillaceae
Description: bacterial SSU rRNA
Rfam family: Bacterial small subunit ribosomal RNA
Source: RNAcentral